UACGUAGGUGGCGAGCGUUGUCCGGAUUUACUGGGCGUAAAGAGCGCGCAGGCGGUCGUACAAGUCGCGUGUGAAAGCCCCUGGCUCAACUGGGGAGGGUCACGCGAUACUGUUCGACUCGAAGGCAGGAGAGGGAAGUGGAAUUCCCGGUGUAGUGGUGAAAUGCGUAGAUAUCGGGAGGAACACCAGUGGCGAAGGCGACUUCCUGGCCUGUUCUUGACGCUGAGGCGCGAAAGCUAGGGUGGCAAACGGG
This 253-nucleotide ribosomal RNA is filed under the name uncultured bacterium. RNAcentral describes it as "partial 16S ribosomal RNA". It matches the Rfam family "Bacterial small subunit ribosomal RNA", at positions 524 to 776 of the family's 1533-position model. The record is from RNAcentral.